ACAAAAGUAAACCGAAGAAACAACAAAAAUCAUACAAAUCUUGAAGUCUGAUCAAAACAGCGAAGAUUAGUCUUCCCAUCCCAUCUGGAUCAGAAAUGUCCAAACAACUAUUUACCGCAGAUACAUGAACUUACAAAGCACAAAGGAUGAUUUCAUCAUAACAAAAAUUUAUAUAAGAUGGUUGGUGAGCAAUGGACUCUGUGGGCCCAAAACUGACAUAAGCUACAUACUUGAAAAUUGCCAUACCAGUUAGAAAGUUAAAGUUGAAUCCAGGAAAAAGUAUGAUGGCAAGAGGGUGAAAUACGUCUGGCACUUCAAAGGACCGAGGAUAUGCAGACCAAAAACGUGAAAUAAGAGGGGAAAAAAUUAUAAAUUGCCAUUAACCUUGUUUAUUUAUAACAGACCUAACUGAAAUAAUUGCUUAAUAAACAAGAAGAAGAGAGAAGAAGACUCGUACUCUGAAAUGACGACAAAAAAUAUUCAAAAUAAAAUGCAUAAGUCCUAUUCCCAAUUGCGGAAUUUAACAUUUUAUUGUAUCUUUAAGAUUAAGAUCCAUUUUGUUACGACGUAAUAUUUCCACAUUCUUUUCCGUUUGAUAACCUUGUCUGAUUAAUAUUGCUAUGUGUACCUGUGUCUUUCUGCAAUUUCUUACCAGUCUAGCAUUUCGUGAUGAACUUGUAGUUUGGUGAUUUCUCAUUAUUUCCCAGUGACCAUCAUACAGUUUUCAUUUGUCAGGCCCGUUCGGGCUGAAGUCGUUAUUUAAUCUGUUGUUGUUUUUGUCAAAAAAUUUGUAAGGUAACGAAAUACAAUCUAAAGCAAUG
Long non-coding RNA from Cimex lectularius (bed bug), 821 nucleotides. RefSeq lists it as uncharacterized. The transcript is spliced from 3 exons. Lineage: Eukaryota; Metazoa; Arthropoda; Insecta; Hemiptera; Cimicidae. The record is from RefSeq and is a predicted model, not a curated record.